RNAcentral lists this long non-coding RNA (671 nucleotides) under Monodelphis domestica (gray short-tailed opossum). RNAcentral's name for it is "lncRNA (ENSMODG00000048710.1)". Lineage: Eukaryota; Metazoa; Chordata; Mammalia; Didelphimorphia; Didelphidae. The record is from RNAcentral.
GUCUGGCUUCUGAUUUAGCCCCUCCUUAUUGGUCUUAGAGGUGGGAGAGGCAAGGAUGAGGAGGAGGAAGAGAAGAGCGGGGAGGUGGUGAAAUGCUAGGGUUGGUUGUCGGUUCUGCUUCGUGGGUCACGAAGGUGGGGUUUUCUGCUUGAGGGACAGUUGGAGAGGGAGAGGAAAGCUUUGGAAACAGACUGUGGUGGCCGCACUCGCAAGCACCCUUUUCACGGGGUGUCCACAGUGGUGGAUUCUCAAGCUGCGGGGGCGCGGCUGGAAAGAGGUUUGGAGGCAUCCUGCGCCCAUGAAGCCAGCGUGCUCACCCCAGGUCUUUGUUUCAAAAACCCUGAUGGUGAUAUUGCUGCUGCUUGCUGCCCAGCAUGUUUAAGAAACCUGAUUCCAAGACAGGAACUUUGAACCUUCAAUUCAACCACGUUUGGCAUCACAAGACUCGAUGGGCCUGGCUUCCACUUGCAUUGAAUGUUUUGAUGAAAGCUCCCUCAUGGAAUGGCAUGAAACACAGAGCUUUUCUCCAGCUGUUUCAAGAUGAUCGUUUGUCACCUGAUAAAUGUACACUGACAACUCUAAAGACCACAAAAGAAAGUAUUUACUAGUGAUCAAAGCACAAGAAAACUACAUUUAAAGGAAGCAAGGACCCCAGUUUUUGGUUUGAAAUG